This 840-nucleotide ribosomal RNA is filed under the name uncultured bacterium. Its description in RNAcentral is "SSU rRNA". It matches the Rfam family "Bacterial small subunit ribosomal RNA", at positions 524 to 1381 of the family's 1533-position model. The record is from RNAcentral.
UACGGAGGGAGCUAGCGCUGUUCGAAAUUACUGGCCGUAAAGAGCACGUAUGCGGAUUGCAAAGUUGCGAGUGAAAUCCCGGGACUCAACCCCGGAACUGCCUCCUGAACUCCCAGUCUUGACGUCGAGAGAGGUGAGUGCUAAUUCCGAGUGUGUAGGAGAAAGUUCGUACAUAUUCUAGAGGAACACCAGAGGCGAAGGCGGCUCACUGGCUCGAUACUGACGGUGAGGUGCGAAAGCGUGGGGAGCAAACAGGAUUAGAUACCCUGAUAGUCCACGCCGUAAACGACGAAUCCCAGUCGUCGGGCAGCACACUCUUCGGUGACACACCUACCGGAUUAAGCAUUCCCCCCGGGGAGUACGGUCUCAAGAUUAAACCUCAAAGGAAUUGACGGGGGCCCGCACAAGCGGUGGAGCAUGUGCUCUAAUUCGAAGCAACGCGCAGAUCCUUAUCAACCCUUGACAUCGAGAUCGCGGAUCGUGGAGACACCUUCCUUCAGUUCGCCUGGACCUUAGACAGGUGCGGCACGGCGGUCGUCAGCUCGUCUCGUGAGAUGUUCGAUUAAGUCCGGCAACGAGCGCAAUCCACACUCUUAGUUGCCAGCAUUCAGUCGGGCACUUUAGGAGAGCUGCCGAUGAUAAGUCGGAGGAAGGUGUGGAUGACGUCAAGUCCUCCUGGCCCUUACGGCUUGGGGUACUCCCGUGCUACAAUGGUGGUGACAAUGGGCCAAUCCCAAAAACACAUCUCAGUUCGGAUUGGGGUAUGCAACUUGACUCCAUGAAGUCGGAAUCGGUAGUAAUCGCGUACCAGCAUGACGCGGAGAAUACGCUCCCGGGCCU